AACGCGAAGAACCUUACCUGGUCUUGACAUCCACGGAAGUUUUCAGAGAUGAGAAUGUGCCUUCGGGAACCGUGAGACAGGUGCUGCAUGGCUGUCGUCAGCUCGUGUUGUGAAAUGUUGGGUUAAGUCCCGCAACGAGCGCAACCCUUAUCCUUUGUUGCCAGCGGUCCGGCCGGGAACUCAAAGGAGACUGCCAGUGAUAAGCUGGAGGAAGGUGGGGAUGACGUCAAGUCAUCAUGGCCCUUACGACCAGGGCUACACACGUGCUACAAUGGCGCAUACAAAGAGAAGCGACCUCGCGAGAGCAAGCGGACCUCAUAAAGUGCGUCGUAGUCCGGAUUGGAGUCUGCAACUCGACUCCAUGAAGUCGGAAUCGCUAGUAAUCGUGGAUCAGAAUGCCACGGUGAAUACGUUCCCGGGCCUUGUACACACCG
This 434-nucleotide ribosomal RNA is filed under the name uncultured bacterium. RNAcentral's name for it is "bacterial SSU rRNA". It matches the Rfam family "Bacterial small subunit ribosomal RNA", at positions 958 to 1392 of the family's 1533-position model. The record is from RNAcentral.